Molecule: transfer RNA, 73 nt
Filed under: Ixodes scapularis (black-legged tick)
Lineage: Eukaryota; Metazoa; Arthropoda; Arachnida; Ixodida; Ixodidae
Description: tRNA-Phe
Source: RNAcentral
UCCUGGUUAGCUCAGUGGGUACAGCGCUCCUUCAAAAAUGGACAGGUCCCUGGUUCAAUACCAGGACCAGGCG